UCAAGCGAGUAAGCGCAUACGGUGGAUGCCUUGGCAGUUGGAGGCGAUGAAGGACGUAGGAGCCUGCGAUAAGCUUCGGGGAGGUGGCAAACACCCUUUGAUCCGAAGAUUUCCGAAUGGGGAAACCCACCCGUCAUAAGGCGGGUAUCAUGCACUGAAUUCAUAGGUGUAUGAAGCGAACCCGGAGAACUGAAACAUCUAAGUACCCGGAGGAAAAGAAAUCAACCGAGAUUCCCUGAGUAGCGGCGAGCGAAAGGGGAGCAGCCUGCAAGUGAUAGCAGAAGUGUUAGUGGAACAGUCUGGAAAGUCUGGCAAUAAAGGGUGAUAGCCCCGUACACGAAAACUCAUCUGUGGUACUAAGCUUGCGAAAAGUAGGUCGGGACACGUGUUAUCUUGACUGAACAUGGGGGGACCAUCCUCCAAGGCUAAAUACUACCAACUGACCGAUAGUGAACUAGUACCGUGAGGGAAAGGUUAAAAGAACCCCGGAGAGGGGAGUGAAAUAGAUCCUGAAACCGUAUGCGUACAAGCAGUAGGAGCAGACUUGUUCUGUGACUGCGUACCUUUUGUAUAAUGGGUCAGCGACUUAUUUUCAGUGGCAAGGUUAACCGUUUAGGGGAGCCGUAGGGAAACCGAGUCUUAAUAGGGCGUCUUAGUCGCUGGGAAUAGACCCGAAACCGGGCGAUCUAUCCAUGGCCAGGUUGAAGGUUGAGUAACAUCAACUGGAGGACCGAACCCACUAAUGUUGAAAAAUUAGGGGAUGAGCUGUGGAUCGGAGUGAAAGGCUAAUCAAGCCCGGAGAUAGCUGGUUCUCCUCGAAAGCUAUUUAGGUAGCGCCUCAUGUCUCACCACUGGGGGUAGAGCACUGUUUCGGCUAGGGGGUCAUACCGACUUACCAACCCGAUGCAAACUCCGAAUACCAGUGAGUGCAAUCAUGGGAGACACACGGCGGGUGCUAACGUUCGUCGUGGAGAGGGAAACAACCCAGACCGCCAGCUAAGGUCCCAAAUAUCAGUUAAGUGGGAAACGAUGUGGGAAGGCUCAGACAGCUAGGAGGUUGGCUUAGAAGCAGCCAUCCUUUAAAGAAAGCGUAAUAGCUCACUAGUCGAGUCGGCCUGCGCGGAAGAUUUAACGGGGCUAAACUGAUAACCGAAGCUGCGGACGCAUACUUGUAUGCGUGGUAGAGGAGCGUUCUGUAAGCCGUUGAAGGUGCAUCGUAAGGUGUGCUGGAGGUAUCAGAAGUGCGAAUGCUGACGUGAGUAACGAUAAAGCGGGUGAAAAACCCGCUCGCCGGAAGAUCAAGGUUUCCUGUCCAACGCUAAUCGGGACAGGGUUAGUCGGUACCUAAGGCGAGGCCGAAAGGCGUAGUCGAUGGAAAACAGGUUAAUAUUCCUGUACCGCUAUAUACUGCGAUGGGGGGACGGAGAAGGCUAGGUGAUCAGGGCGAUGGUUGUCCCUGUACAAGCUUGUAGGGAGAUCUCUUAGGUAAAUCCGGGAGAUCAUUAUCCUGAGGAGUGAUGUCGAGCUCAAUUGCGAGCGAAGUCAUUGAUGCCAUGCUUCCAAGAAAAGCCUCUAAGCUUCAGGUAUAUAGAGACCGUACUCUAAACCGACACAGGUGAUCAGGUAGAGAAUACCAAGGCGCUUGAGAGAACUCGGGUGAAGGAACUAGGCAAAAUGGUACCGUAACUUCGGGAGAAGGUACGCCGGUUUUGGUGAUGAGACUUGCUCUCUAAGCUGAGGCCGGCCGAAGUGACCAGGUGGCUGCGACUGUUUAUUAAAAACACAGCACUCUGCAAACACGAAAGUGGACGUAUAGGGUGUGACGCCUGCCCGGUGCCGGAAGGUUAAUUGAUGGGGUUAUCUUCGGAGAAGCUCUUGAUCGAAGCCCCGGUAAACGGCGGCCGUAACUAUAACGGUCCUAAGGUAGCGAAAUUCCUUGUCGGGUAAGUUCCGACCUGCACGAAUGGCGUAACGAUGG
RNAcentral lists this ribosomal RNA (1978 nucleotides) under marine metagenome. RNAcentral describes it as "bacterial LSU rRNA". It matches the Rfam family "Bacterial large subunit ribosomal RNA", at positions 3 to 2010 of the family's 2925-position model. The record is from RNAcentral.